GCUGGAACCAGCUUAUGUCGAACACUACAGGAAGGUCAUGAGAAGGAAGACAUGGCACAUAGGCCCCCUUUCUCCCUGCAACCGGAACACACACAAUAAAGCACAACAAGGAAAUGCAGCCUCUAAGGACACAGUUGAAUGCUUAAGAUGGCUAGACUCAAAGAAACACAAUUCAGUUCUCUAUAUAUGUUUUGGAAGCAUGUCCUGGUUUUCAGCUGCUCAGCUUUAUGAGAUUGCUAAGGGACUUGAAACUUCUGGACAGGAUUUCAUUUGGAUUGUAAGGAAGGUGAAAAACAAAGGCAAAGAGGAGUGGUUGCCAGAAGGAUUUGAAGAACAGAUGGAAGGGAUGAUUUUGAUUAUAAGGGGAUGAACACCUCAAGCGCUGAUUCUUGAUCAUGAAGCUGUAGGAGGGUUUGUGACUCACUGUGGAGGGAAUUCGACACUGGAGAGUAUCACUGCUGGAGUACCAAUGGUCACAUGGCCACUCAGUAAUGAGCAGUUCUAUAAUGAAAGGCUUGUUACAGAUAUACUAAGAAUAGGGGUUGGAGUUGGAGCCCAAGAAUGGUCUAGAUUGAUGGAAGAUAAGAAAGUACUUAGUGACAAAUGAAAAUAUAAAAAAGGCAGUGACUCAGCUGAUGGUUGGUGAAGAAGCCAAUGAAAUAAGAAACAGAGCUAGUGCACUGAAAGAGAUGGCAAAGAGGGCUGUUGAAGAGGGUGGAUCAUCUCACUCUGAUUUGAGGGCUUUAUUAGAUGAAUUGAGAUUGAAGAGACCUCAAGGAGAGCAAUGAGAGAUCUAUUAAAGGACUAAAGACAACAAUAAGUUCAUGCAUAAAGCUGUAGAUCUUGUAUCAAAAUAAAUAUUGAUAAAAAGUUCUGUAAACCUUGUUGUCUUCUCUCUUUCUUUUUAGUUUUCCUCUCUUUGUUUUUCCUUGCUGAGCAAAGUUAAGAAACUUUUAAUAUUUUGUUGUUCCAAGAGAUUCCCUUCCUGUAAGACUAUCCCCUCUUAGUUUUGGUUCUGACUUAAAAUAACGAAUGUACAAGAGAAUAGACAAUUGAAUCGCCAAAAAACCAAAACCAAGGAAAUAUAUUUUAACAAUACAAGACUUACAGGACAUUGCUCUAUUAGCUCAAGUAACCUUAAUCAUACCUAUUAACAUCUGAGGGAAAAAUGUUCAAGUCAGUCACCUUCCUUGCAAGUAAAACCUGCAUAAGUCAGUAAUAUAAAAUGUUAAUCUAGCCUUCAAAAAAAUAUAAAAGUUAAUAUAGGUCAACCAAGAUAAAUUCCCUAGUUCAGAAAGGAAAAAAUAAAUAAAUAAAAUUGUAUGAGGACACCAUUUGAGAAAUAAACAUUGCAGUUUCAGCAUUAAGCACUCAAUGAUCAUCACUUCAAAUGUGAAACCAUAACUCCAGACUAUAGAAAUACACCCACAUUCUUCAAGAUAGUUGAUAAAUGGAGACCCACACCCAGUAAGCAUGCUGAAGAAAAUGCCAAUUGUUAACAAAUACGAGUUCACCACACUCAAAACAUUGAUUUCUUGAAGAGGACAUUGCCCUUUUAAGCUAAAAGAACUAUACAAUUUUAAAUCAUAUUUAUUAACAUCCAAGGGAGAAGUGGUGACAAGAUAGCAACCUUGACAGGCCACCCAAGCUAAACCUGCUAAGUCAGUAAUAGAAAAGGUUAAUAUAGGUUGACAAGGUGAUUUCUCUAUUUCAGAAAGUACAUGUGUUUGCGAGAGGGAAAAAAACAUUUUAGUUUACAGAUGCCUUUUCCCUAGGCUAAUAUUCAAUACUCUUAAAAGACAUGGCUUAAAUCUUUAGGGUUUCCUCAGCCCAACAUCUCAGGAACCUGUGAAAGUUGCAAGUGUAAUGCUUGUCGAGCAAAAGUAAGGGGUGCUCAUGCAGAGGAAAUUGGAAACAAAGCAACAGCAUUUGAACUUCUUAAUCAGUUUUUCAAUCUGAUUUCCAUCACACUUCUGAAAAUAAUUUUCAGUGAUAGGUCUUCUAAAUCUUUAUUGCAUAGAGUAAACCAUCCAAAACAUAUACCUACCGCCAGACAUUGCAGCAAUUUAAUUUUCUAUUCAAAGCAAAGUGUGUAUGAUAAACUACUUAAUCACCAAAAGAUUACUCCAAAUCUGGACUUACAACAUAAUAGUAAAGGUGAAAAUUCAGCAACCCAUCACACUAACAAAAUUGUAAAGUGAAACUUCAUAAAAAACAUGUUAGCUUCUUUGUUGUAGUGUCAGCUUUCUUUCUUGUUGCUUCCCUGUUGUACGCUAUAGCAUGUUUAUCCAGCUUCUUUGGAUUAUAAAAUCACAUUUAUUAAAAAAAAAAAAAAGCAAAGUGAAAUUCAACAGAACAAACUCAAUAUCCUUCAGCACUGAUACGCACCAUAUCCAGCUUAACUAAGGCCAGCUGGAGUUAUUAUAUCACCCAAAAUUCUUUAAAUUUGUCUGAAAAGUAAUUAAAUAACUAGAUACGUGUAAAGAAAAAAAAAGUACAAACAGUGACAAUGAUAGAAACAAGAAGGGGUCUAGGCUUCUUAAAUCUUGCAAGCAUAC
This 2558-nucleotide long non-coding RNA is filed under the name Theobroma cacao (cacao). RNAcentral describes it as "long non-coding RNA (TCAC_LNC000756)". Lineage: Eukaryota; Viridiplantae; Streptophyta; Magnoliopsida; Malvales; Malvaceae. The record is from RNAcentral.